GGAGAAAGAGGCGGUGGACGAGGAGGAAGAGGCAGUGUACAAGGCCAAAGGGUGUCAGUGGGAGGCAGAGUGUUGGAGACGGGAGACGGCAGAUGGUACUGCAACUGGCAGUGUCAGAAUAGGAGAAGGAGGAGGCGGUGGUGGUGGAG
Long non-coding RNA from Cygnus olor (mute swan), 149 nucleotides. RefSeq lists it as uncharacterized. The record is from RefSeq and is a predicted model, not a curated record. The transcript is spliced from 3 exons. Lineage: Eukaryota; Metazoa; Chordata; Aves; Anseriformes; Anatidae.